RNAcentral lists this ribosomal RNA (253 nucleotides) under uncultured bacterium. RNAcentral describes it as "partial 16S ribosomal RNA". It matches the Rfam family "Bacterial small subunit ribosomal RNA", at positions 524 to 776 of the family's 1533-position model. The record is from RNAcentral.
UACGUAGGGAGCAAGCGUUGUCCGGAAUCAUUGGGCGUAAAGCGCGCGUAGGUGGCUUCGUAAGUCCGUUGUGAAAGUCAAAGGCUCAACCUUUGAAAGCCGAUGGAUACUGUGAAGCUAGAGUACGGAAGAGGCGAGUGGAAUUCCUGGUGUAGCGGUGGAAUGCGCAGAUAUCGGGAGGAACACCAAUGGCGAAGGCAGCUCGCUGGGACGUUACUGACGCUGAGACGCGAAAGCGUGGGGAGCAAACAGG